AAGAAGGGUAUAGGAGAGAGCUUGCUACAGAUCAGCAGGCCGCCGAAGGGACAAGUCUUGUUUUUCCCAAAAAAGCAAGGUGAAAUUCUCAGGCAAAAGGACUAUAUCUGGACA
This 114-nucleotide non-coding RNA is filed under the name Peptoclostridium litorale. Its description in RNAcentral is "Clostridium litorale Glycine sequence". It matches the Rfam family "Glycine riboswitch aptamer". Rfam says of the family: This family represents the bacterial glycine riboswitch. The record is from RNAcentral. RNAcentral also lists the same sequence under 1 other name. Lineage: Bacteria; Bacillati; Bacillota; Clostridia; Peptostreptococcales; Peptoclostridiaceae.